Sinocyclocheilus anshuiensis is the source of this 91-nucleotide long non-coding RNA. RefSeq lists it as uncharacterized. Lineage: Eukaryota; Metazoa; Chordata; Actinopteri; Cypriniformes; Cyprinidae. The record is from RefSeq and is a predicted model, not a curated record. The transcript has 3 exons.
GCUCUUCAGAUCUGGAAACUGACUUGUGAAGUGUCAAGCAGAAGGCUUUGGCUCCCUUCUCCCCCCUUCGUAGCUGUGUACAGGUGUGAAG